UCGAGCCGAUUUCGCGCUCCGCUCGAUGUUCGCUGAUUUGGCGACUCAAAGGAAGCUUUUGGAACGUGGGGAGGAGGAUUUUUACUGACUUUUCUGGGAUCUUACUAUCAGGAAAAGUUGAGUUGUAGCUUUUGAAAGCUGAUUUAGGAGGAGUUUCCAGCAGCUAGAGAGGAGUUAUUUAGCUGUAAUUUAUCCACUCUAGUGCAGGGAAAAGUUGCUUUGAAGCUUGAUUAAGGUUUCCGAUUCAUUUUGUGUUAAAUUGGUGACCUU
Long non-coding RNA from Ananas comosus (pineapple), 270 nucleotides. RefSeq lists it as uncharacterized. The transcript has 3 exons. The record is from RefSeq and is a predicted model, not a curated record. NCBI's taxonomy places the organism in Eukaryota, Viridiplantae, Streptophyta, Magnoliopsida, Poales, Bromeliaceae.